UCGCGGCCUAUCAGCUUGUUGGUGAGGUAAUGGCUCACCAAGGCGACGACGGGUAGCCGGCCUGAGAGGGCGACCGGCCACACUGGGACUGAGACACGGCCCAGACUCCUACGGGAGGCAGCAGUGGGGAAUAUUGCACAAUGGGCGAAAGCCUGAUGCAGCGACGCCGCGUGAGGGAUGACGGCCUUCGGGUUGUAAACCUCUUUCAGCAGGGAAGAAGCGAAAGUGACGGUACCUGCAGAAGAAGCGCCGGCUAACUACGUGCCAGCAGCCGCGGUAAUACGUAGGGCGCGAGCGUUGUCCGGAAUUAUUGGGCGUAAAGAGCUCGUAGGCGGCUUGUCACGUCGGUUGUGAAAGCCCGGGGCUUAACCCCGGGUCUGCAGUCGAUACGGGCAGGCUAGAGUUCGGUAGGGGAGAUCGGAAUUCCUGGUGUAGCGGUGAAAUGCGCAGAUAUCAGGAGGAACACCGGUGGCGAAGGCGGAUCUCUGGGCCGAUACUGACGCUGAGGAGCGAAAGCGUGGGGAGCGAACAGGAUUAGAUACCCUGGUAGUCCACGCCGUAAACGGUGGGCACUAGGUGUGGGCGACAUUCCACGUCGUCCGUGCCGCAGCUAACGCAUUAAGUGCCCCGCCUG
Molecule: ribosomal RNA, 634 nt
Filed under: Streptomyces griseoflavus
Lineage: Bacteria; Bacillati; Actinomycetota; Actinomycetes; Kitasatosporales; Streptomycetaceae
Description: bacterial SSU rRNA
Rfam family: Bacterial small subunit ribosomal RNA
Source: RNAcentral